AGAGUUUGAUCCUGGCUCAGGACGAACGCUGGCGGCGUGCCUAAUACAUGCAAGUCGAGCGAAUGAAGAGAGAAGCUUGCUUCUCUCGGAUUUAGCGGCGGACGGGUGAGUAACACGUGGGUAACCUACCUUAUAGUUUGGGAUAACUCCGGGAAAC
RNAcentral lists this ribosomal RNA (157 nucleotides) under uncultured bacterium. RNAcentral's name for it is "partial 16S ribosomal RNA". It matches the Rfam family "Bacterial small subunit ribosomal RNA", at positions 8 to 157 of the family's 1533-position model. The record is from RNAcentral.